AGUAUUGCAUGGCUGAAAUGAUAUCUAUUGUAGUUUCGAACAAGUCACAUGAUCUCAUAGCAUGGGCUCAAGGCGUGCUACAUGUCAAAUAUUUCCAAUCGAAUUCGAAACUGCAAAGUUUCAAUGAAGCAGGAAUCGCCUGUAAUCAGGUCUAAUAUAACCUGGUGAAAAUUAACGCUCUUCGUGCACACACUGCCCGUCACAUCCGGAAACGACUUAAUAUCCAUAUAUUUUUGCUGUUUUUAGCAACAAGACAUACAAGAUACACGCCGAAUUUGGAUGAAGUCGUAACAAGGUUUGAGCAGGGGAACCUGCUCAGGAAAAUGAUCAAAU
RNAcentral lists this ribosomal RNA (333 nucleotides) under Polytomella piriformis. RNAcentral describes it as "small subunit ribosomal RNA". It matches the Rfam family "Bacterial small subunit ribosomal RNA", at positions 1036 to 1533 of the family's 1533-position model. Lineage: Eukaryota; Viridiplantae; Chlorophyta; Chlorophyceae; Chlamydomonadales; Chlamydomonadaceae. The record is from RNAcentral.